RNAcentral lists this unclassified non-coding RNA (315 nucleotides) under plant metagenome. RNAcentral describes it as "partial contains 5.8S ribosomal RNA, internal transcribed spacer 2, and large subunit ribosomal RNA". The stretch from base 1 to 105 matches the Rfam family "5.8S ribosomal RNA", at positions 50 to 154 of the family's 154-position model. The record is from RNAcentral.
GAACUGCGAUAAGUAAUGUGAAUUGCAGAAUUCAGUGAAUCAUCGAGUCUUUGAACGCACAUUGCGCCCCCUGGCAUUCCGGGGGGCAUGCCUGUCCGAGCGUCAUUGCUGCCCUUCAAGCCCGGCUUGUGUGUUGGGUCGUCGUCCCCUCCGGGGGACGGGCCCGAAAGGCAGCGGCGGCACCGCGUCCGGUCCUCGAGCGUAUGGGGCUUUGUUACCCGCUCGAUAAGGACCGGCCGGGCGCCAGCCGGCGUCUCCAACCUUUUUUUCUCAGGUUGACCUCGGAUCAGGUAGGGAUACCCGCUGAACUUAAGC